AUAAUAUGCUUUUGCCAUUAUGGCUUAAAAUUUAUUAAAGUUUUAGGACAACUAGAGUGCACAAUGCUAGACUUCAUAAGUAAUAAUAAAUUUAUUCUUAUUUCAGAUCCUUUGACAAACGAAAAAUGGCUACUGUAGACGAGAAGGACACUCCCUUCCCACCCAUACACUCACACUAUCAGAUGUCAGUAAAGUAUUACUGGCCUUGAGGG
This 212-nucleotide long non-coding RNA is filed under the name Crocodylus porosus (Australian saltwater crocodile). RNAcentral's name for it is "lncRNA (ENSCPRG00005015060.1)". Lineage: Eukaryota; Metazoa; Chordata; Crocodylia; Crocodylidae. The record is from RNAcentral.